Molecule: long non-coding RNA, 15598 nt
Organism: Ooceraea biroi (clonal raider ant)
Lineage: Eukaryota; Metazoa; Arthropoda; Insecta; Hymenoptera; Formicidae
Source: RefSeq, a predicted model, not a curated record
AAUAAUAAUCCAAUAUAAUCAGAAAAUAUAUAAGUUUCUUUUAUUAUUUUCUUUUAUUAUUAUGUUAUUUUCUGACUUAAUAAUCUUUGCAUAAUUUUGUCGUUUUAAUUAAUUUUUCAUCAAUUCUGGGAAACAUCAUUACAUUAGUUUGAAUGUUAAUUUUAUUUUCUCAAAGAAAUUUAAUGCAUACAUAUAAAAUAUACAGACACAUACUUGCGCAUGUGUGUACAUCUAUGUAAUAAUUGUAUAAAAUAUAUGCAUAUAAUUAAUAUUGCACCUACAUUUUACUUUAGAAAACAUAUUUAUUUGUACAUCAACAAUGUUAAAUCAGAAUUUGUCAAAUAUUACCAAAGAAUAUAACUCGAUGUCCCUUUUUUUUAUCUUAACAAAACUCGGAAUUUGCAAUUUUCGAUAAUACGUGUACAUGCGCGUGCGUUCCUUCAUCACCACACGCGCAAUCGGGCCCAGUAAUGUCCUUUGAUAUUGUCCUUGAGAAAUCUAGGGUUGCCAGCAGGGAAAUAUCGAUAUUCCGCCGAUGUACCAUACGAAAUUUCAAGCAUGGCCAGGCCGUUUGAUGACAAGCGCACCCUCGCACGCAGGGGGAGGAAACCGAAAUGCAUCCACCCCGUCCAUCAAAGGGGGAUGAAUUCGACCAAUUGAUGGGUUUGGAGCCAGCGUCGAUCAAUCGACAAACUCCGUGCUCAAAGCCAGUGGCCAUUCCUACUCCACUGACCCUGUUCGUUCGCCACUCGUUUCGUCGAAAAUUGGAUUUUUUCCCUCUUGCAUACGCCACUAUGAAAACCAUGAAUGUGUGCCAAAAUUCAUAUGCUUCUCAUAUUACGUUACAGUUUAUUGUAAAGAUUCUUUUCUUACAUAUUCGCAAUCACGCAUUUCAAUUCGAGAUAGUCUUGUAACUUUGUGAAUUGUAAGCAAGUUUUGUAGAUAGAAACAUCUUCGGAUUAUCCAAUAAAUGAAUAGAGCAAUUAUUAUCCCAAAUUAUUCCAAAAUUAAAUCUCAUUAAAUUAAAACGUUUUUCCUUCAAGUUUCGAUAGAGAAAUUAUUCCUACGAUUACACAAUUGCAAACGUCACGCACUUCGAGAUUAUACCGCGUGAGGAUCGUAUUAAAAAUGAAGCGAUGAAAGUUUGCGGAAGUAACGAAAUUAUUCCCACCCCAGCCAGAAACGCGCCUGAUAAUCAGGCAAGAGAGAGAGAGAGAGACAGAAAGACCAAGAGAAAGGGAGGAAAAGGGGGUUGAAAGGAGAGUAGGGGUAGAUAACACACGCGGCUGACGAGGAGGUGCUCUCGGAGGGACUACUCGCAUGCGGAUAAGUUUACUUUUCCGCAUCGAGGAUCCGAUGAAACGAGGCGUCCGCAGAUCCGAUCGGACAGCGGAAUCGCAGGUACAGGGCUGGUUAUAUCCGCGCGGCCUACCAAGCGCGGCAAUCCUGUCCGACCUCGGUCUCGUUCCUGCAACAUUUAAAGCCUCCUACCUGACGCACCUCUUCGUCUCUUCUGCCCCCCCCCCCUUCUCUAUCUCUCUUUCUGUUUUGCGUCCCUCUCGAUCCUUCCUAGAUAUUUCGUGAACACGAUCACGUCGUACCACAAUGCGGAAUCCCGCUUUUAUUCUUCCUUUCGAGUAUAAUGCGGAUCUCCGAUGGUUAGCUUAGACGCGGGCAGCUAUUUUUUAUGCCGGUUGGUGCGUGAAUUAUUAGCAUAUGGCGCGGCAUAUAUAUGUACGAUAUAGGCUUGACAGAUAAGAACGCUUCAACGAUUAUCGGAUGCGUUAAUGCUACCGGAAAUCGGAUCAACAAACGUGAUCUUCCCCCGUUCGCAUAUUGAUGCAGCGUCCGAUCGCGUGACUUUCUUUUAUAUCGAAAGGCAACUUUACGUACUUUUUUAGUACUUUACUUACGUAUUGAAUUCAUGAAAUAUAUAUAUUAUGUAAUUUAAAACAAUCGGUUUUUCUCAUUUGAAAUGCCUAUAUUUCGGUAAUCAAAAAGACUGGCCAUCUAUCUCAGAGUUACCUAUAUAUAUAUAUAUAUAUAUCUUCUUGUGUUUGAUCUCCAUAAUCUUAUUACUUUUAAUAGAAAUAAUUAUUUUUAAUAGAAAUGAUUAAUUUCAUUUUUGUCGAAAAAAUAAGAAAUACAAGUGUUACGUGGAAUGAAAAAGAUAACGCUGAAUCACGACGAGAUUUUCUGGAACUAAAGUCUUCUCCACGUCGAGAAAUGUGUCUUACCGCGGCGCACCUCAUUCUCGGUUCGAGAGAAUCAGAGCUCGUACCCAAUGUCUCACCCCCAAGGAAAUAAAUCUUCGGCCCCAGGCUGUGCAUCACCGGGUUGGCAAGCAAUUUGGGGCCCGACGAUAACUCAUACGAGCAUCGAUAGUACGCUCUUUUAUCUACGUAUAUAUAUAUAAGAGAGCUCUCGCGUAUAUCCAAGCAAUAUAACAAAAUGUUGUUUCGUACAUGUCUUUCCGCGUGCUUCGAUCAUGCAUAAAAGCGUGUACUACGUAGAUGUACAUAGAUGCGACGAACUGAUAAAAAGGCAAUCAGUUUCAAAGAAAAUUCUUUGAGAAACACACUGUAAUUGAUAAUAGUUAAUGGGCGCUUCCAAAUUUAUUAACAUAGAAAUAUAACUUUUAUUAUAUAGAGCAAGAUAAUAUCUACUAUUUAAUAGAAUUGUGUGGAUACACAUAUACACGCGCACAAAUUGGAAUAAUUAUAUCACUUAUAUUUAACCAUACAGCUAAAAAACUCAUGAUGAGAAAGUCAAGUCAGACCGUUUAACGAUUUCGAUUAACAAAAUCAAAAAACGCUAAAUUCGUCUUUUUAAGAAAUCCCGACUAUCCCGAGGGACCAGGUUUUCGUCGCGCGUUACAUAAGCGAGUUCUUAAGCUGGCCAUGUAGUGAUGGUACAUGGGUAGUCGUACGUCUUUGCAUAUAAUUAGAAGAGCAUUGAAUCGACCCUCGUCGGACGCCUUUUCACCGUGAAAGAGCAGGAUGGGACGAGAAGAGGGGGAGAGUAAGACUGCUCGCAUCCGAGUCGAAGGGUUUCCUAUUUUUUUUGUCCUGUCAGUACGAAAAAAGGUCUCCUCCUCUCCUUCAGGAGAAAAAGGGGUUAAAGGCUCCUUCCGCGAUCGGCAGGUACAUGCCGAUGACGUGUUCCAAGGCAUAUGCAUAUGUGUUUUGCUGAAAAGAGGGUCGAUCAAAUUAAAUCAGUGCCGUAAGAAAUUGGUCCUUGUUAAUAUCUCUUUUAUUUUUCUCUAUUAUUAUUUUAUUCGAAUAAUGUGGCGAUUUUAAAAGCGAAGAUGAACCGUAGAGCAAAUGCAUUGAUUAUUUUAUCACAAACAUUAACUCGAAAUUUUUACUAUGUAAAAAAGCGUUGUGUUAUUAAAAACUAUUCCAUUCAUUUUUAUGAAAAAGGACUUGGAUUUGAAUCUGCAAUUCAUAGCAAUUUAAUAACAAAACCACAUAUAUAUUUUAUCGAAUUUGUUUUAUACGACUUGAAAACAAUUUGACUUAACCGUAAUAUAUACAUAUAUAAACAGAAAUCAGCAUGUAGUUUAUUACAGAAGUAGAUGGUGAGCGAAAUUGGUAUCACGCUCCUGCCGAAAACCUCUUCAACCCUUUUCGGCCUUGGGCCCCGCUUCCUUUCUUAAAACUCGUCCGCAUAAAUUAUGCACGCAGGUAGUCUGCAUUGUACGGUCGCUCACCUCAGCGGGGCCCGAUGAUAAAUUAUCACACAUUGAAAAUUUCCGAGCUAACGAGGGUUGGAAAUUUGAAUAUCCUUCCGCGUGUCUUUCAUUCUCACGGCUCUCUCACCCUCUCCGUCACUCUUCUCGCGCCUCUUUUACAAGCUUUCGGCAAUCCAUACCUACCUGAGGAUUGCGCGCACACAAUAAGUCCGUGAUUUGAUUUAUCGAACGAUCUCUCUUGCGUAUGUGAGCCCGCGUAUAUAGGCAUAUUAUUACUAUGAAUUCACUCUGAAAUGAUUCGCAAGACAUCGUUGGAAGCUAGCGAAAUGGUGAUAUGCACCAUACCGAUUGUUCGAUGUUUCGAAGCAUUACACGACACAAUAACAAUUUUUCAAAAUUGGCUCGUUUAAUUAAUUCGUUUCUUCGUCAAUCGUAACAUUAGAGAUGUGUUUGUCGAAUUUUUUGUUAGUUUGCAAACUCUUAAUCGGUGACAUGAUGCUCACGCCAUUCCGUUUGUUAGUCCACCAACGAGUUAAUCGCACGUUUGUUAAAAUCGUUCGCUAUUAUCGGAUUAGGAUGCUGCGCGAGGGAGGUCGGAGAGAGGAAAUCAAACCAUUACAUGCCGCUGAUAAUUGACGCGCGCCUGAUCAGCGUUUCACGUCGGGAGAAUUACGCAUCCCGGUAUCUCGCGCAUACACCCUCAGUGCCGUGAGCUUCGGGGGUCACCGAACCGAACCGCCCAUCGGUGAAAAGUGCACCCUUAUAAACAAUCGCAGGGCCGGGCAGUGCGAUUCAUGAUGGCCGCCAACGGGAGUCCGGGAGUCCCAGUGCCCCUAUCGCGGCCGAAAAAGAAUAUAAUGAGCUUCCCCUACCAACUGGGCUUUCGUUACGGGACAUUGCAGGGACGGCAAAUGAAGAGUCGUAGAGAGAAAGGGAGAACACACCGGCGACGUGGCCGAGCGAGUGAGAGGGGAAAAACACCCCACGCGAGUGAUUUGCAUACACGGUCAACCGGCUCCACGACGUGACUCAGUUUCGUCGCCGGGGUUAGCUCGAAUCGUCUCUCCGCUUUAAUAAAGUACACCGCGCACGACGGCCGACAUAGUUCUCCUCUUUUUUGCUUUCUGCUUUUUUUUGUGCUGGUUUUUGCUACCGCGAAGAAAGACCCCAGAAUUCUUCAGAAUCAUUCGAUGUGCCUGCCGAAAUGCGCCACGCGACGGACCACGUAUCGUUUCACCUUAAUCGUGUCUCGGUGCGAAAUCGUUGGUUCCAGAGUGUACCGAACAGUUACUAGUGAUGUGAUUGAUCACGUUUCUCUCGUGUUGACAACGACGAUCAUAUGGCAGUUUAUAAAAUCUACUUUUAAUUCUGUUAUAAGGCAGGUUUUCUGGAUUUUUUUCGAGGAUUUUUAAGCUCGAUAGCUUAAUAAUAGACAGGCUAGAGAAUUUACGUAAAGAUAAAUAUGUUAAAUAACCGUUUAUGUGAAAAAUAUAUCUACUUAUGCACUCUUGCUGCGUAUAUUUUCAUUCGUGAAAGAGAUACACUGUUCACAAAAUAUCACAAUAAAAUUUGGAGUAUUGCUGCAACAAACACGACAAAUUGCUGCAGUUCCAAUUGUUGCAUUCGUAUCUGUACUUUCGAAUUUUUUUAGCAGAUUUUCGGUUUUAUCAUAUUUUUAAUGUUUAAAUCAUUACUUAUUCAUGCAUCAGUUACAGAAUUAUUAUUAGUAACAGAAUUAUAAUUAGUAUUUAUUAUAAUUAGUAUUAGUAUUAUAUGUUUUAUUCAUGCAGCAUCGUAAAAAAGAUAUAUUAUUAUUACAUCCACUGUGUAUGCAUGACUGACGUGAAUCUAUAACAUAUAAUUAAUAUUUAUUAUAAUUAUUCCAUAGCUAGACAUAAACGGUCCUGCUAUCACGAAACUGUUCGCGCUAUAACACUUUUGAUCAAAAUGUUGUCUGAAUAUCUUCGGUAUCAUUAUCGAGCACUUCACAAGAGACGUUGAACGAGUCCUACACGCGUUAACACUUUCGGCUUUCACAGAUAUCGUUACUACAUUCCUCUACGGGGUUUCUUGCUUUACACGGAGAUAGUUAACAGCGUAUAUUAUUAAUUACUGAUGCCAGUUAAACGAAGGAGAGCCAGCUCAACUGGAUGGAGUCGUCGAGAAGCCAUGUUGACGCCUGCGUAUGGCGACGUCGCGGCGCUUGUUUAGGGGGUGUGCUCUGCGCCGAGGGGAAAAGUAUUGACUGGAAAAAAGUAACGAAUCGAUUCGGUUUUCGGUACUAUUUUAAAAGUUAAUUAACGAGCAUUGUUUCGUCUUUGUCGAUUGUACAUUUAAAUAAUAUUUUUAAUUAAAACAUUUUUUAUUGAAAGAUAUAUAAAUGAUAUUCUUUCCGUAUUACAAAAUUUUACAGUUGUAAACCAGCUAGACUAGUAAUUUUCUCACAUGUUAAUAUAAAUAGAAAGAUAGCAUAUUUAUGACUAUAUAUUUAUCUGUAUUAAAUAUGUAACUGUAACGAAUAAUUUUUUACUGUUUACAAUAUGACGUAUAUUAUAUAAACAAUUGAAUGAAACAUACUGUUAAAAUUUAAAAAUUUCUCAUCGCAUAAAUAAUGCUCCAAACAUAAAUCAAAUGCUUAACGCGUGAACAUAAUAUAUUUACUGUACAAAAGAAUGAUUUUUACAAGACUUCAUGACAGAAUUAUUAUUUCUCUCUUGAAUUUUCACUAAAACGAGAUGAGAUAAAUGUAGUUGAUUUAACGCGAAGAAUCAAUCACAGAUAAUGUAAAUGAAGAAACUAACAAUUGUUUUCGGAAAAUCGCUUAUACACUGAGUUACGCGACGUAAUUGUGCGAAUGUAUUCGCAUGCGUGAGGUCGCAUUGUAUUAUACAAGUUGUAUAUAUCUAGCUGCGCGAAUAUGUAUAUAUAGGCAGAGUUGGGACGCAGACGCCGGCGUCGCGACGUUCGACGGUACAGUUCCCGUCGGACGGUCCUUGGAGAUGGCAGGAUUCGGUCCUGAUUCCCAGUCCUUCCUGCGCACUCAUCUUCGCACGUAGUCCUUCCUUCCUCUUCGUCUUAAGAUCAAAGGCAACAAACGAGAUCGGCGAGAUCGAGUGAACGCGCGAAACACCACACGUCCUUCAAAUGUUCUCGUCCAAAACGCAAUAAAAAUUCUAUCGCGCAUAUUAUUGAUAUCAAAACGAAGCUCUGAUCAGCACAGACUCGCAGUGAAGUGUCUCUUUCACGAGUGAAUUAUUUCAUUAACGUUAAACACGUGGCUGCUUUCAAAACGAUAAAAAAGGAUGUUUUUAUAAGACGCGCACAAAAUUCUGUUGGAUAUUUUGUUUGAUCAAUUGGACUUUAUGGCUUGUAUUAUGUACUCUUUGUAAAAAUAAUUUUCUAGUUUUCAAAGUUGCCAACUAAAUUUGCAUCUGCGAUUUCAUUCAAGACAAAAAUCAAAUAUUGUAUAAUAUAUUAAAUAUUAUAUUUAAAUGCCUCGAACUGUGUGGAUUUAUAUGAAAUAUUUGCAGAUACGCUCCAUCUAGAAGUGACAGAUCAUUAGAAUAGAAAAAAGCUACAGUUAUAUCAUGAAAGUCUUGUGUCUCGCGUAACAAUAAUUUCACAGGAAAUUGCGUAGAUCUAACCGACACAAUCGUAAUACGUAAACGUAACAACGUCUUUUCGCAGAUGAAAGAAUUAGCGACAAAAUAACGCGAUGUCAAAUGAACAAACUUUUAACAUUUUUGACACUUUUGCACUUAAGGUUCGUUGUCACGACAUAAUAUUCAUGAAAAAAGUAAAAACUCAUAUUUAUUACGACGCAAAAACUAUUUUUCUCUCCAUCGCGGUAGAUCACGAAGCGUCUCCGUAGACAGCUAACAGCUGAUUGUUUCCUCUCGCGGUGGCGAGCCUCCGUUUCAACUUAAUUACGUCACCGCCAUCCCCUCUCGUGCGCGCAACCCUCACCACCGUUCUUAAUCACCAUCCUACUCGUCUCUCCUCUUCUCUCACCCUGCUUUCAUUCAUUUUCACUUUCGCUUUCCGUCUUUCUGCCGCAUACACACGUUCAUGGAGCGAUUUCCCUUUCUCUCCUCGUCCUGACGGGCUGAGUGCGCGCGUGUAAUUAAUUUAUAUCCGUUUGGAAGUGAGAAAUCGAUUCGCGAAAAACGAUUAUUACGUUUUUCUUCACUCGCUGCUUCUCGUCACGUGAGAAGUUCGACAUUCUCUGCUGCAGAAGAAGAAGCAACGUGCGAUGACAAUAAUAUAUGAUGCACGCCAAUCCGAGCGCGCGUAAAUACGUACGCACGGAACGACGGAGACGCCCGAUGUUGCCAGGAGGACACAGAUGCUGAAGAAGAGAUCAUCGGAUCGGAUGCGAGAUCAGUAGCGUCCAUAACGACGGAAAAACUUGCCAAACAACGUGUUCACCGCUAAGAGAUUAUUACUCGCGAGAAAUAGGAUCUUCUUCUAUGGGUUCUUAGUGCAUUGGAGAACAGAAGACAUCGUGUCUCUUUCGACGUUUUGUGUAAUUUCAGGGACAACGUAAUGACAACAGAUUGUUUAACGCGAUCAAAAAGGAUAGGUGGAUUUCAGUCACUUCAAAGAGAAUAAUUUCAGAGUGACGUACUAAGGUAUAAAUCACGUAAACGACCGUAAAUAAAUUUUAAUCAUAUGUAUUAUACAUAGGCUACUCGCGUUGAUCAUUGACAUAAGAUAUAUGGACGGAGCCUUUUUUAUGAGGGGAAGCUGAAUUUAGCGAGAAGAGGAGAGUAUUGGAACAUCUAACUGAAGCAGAAAACACACAACUAAAUAAAAAACUCGUGUUAUAGCUUAAUUUACGCUUGUUCUUCCAUAUAUUAUUUUACAAGUUACUAUCUCAACUUUCAGUUAUACUGCACUUUUCGCUGGACUUAUGCAUAUGCAUCUAAUUAGGCGCAACAUAUCUUUUAAGUACGUCCAAUAAAUGUCGCGCCAUGGAAGUGGGGGUCGAAAAAGGAUAUAAUUAUACUUUUAUAUUAAUAAUAGGGACCAGUUUUUCUCGAGUGGGUAAUCGAUCACUGUCGUACCAUUAAUAACCUGUAAUAUCGCUAAGUCCUCUGCCCGGUGCUCGUGUGCAGUGUGAAUGCACUCGCGACGUAAUCAGCGUACGUUGUACGCAUUACGCACCCUCGUUCAUAGGCGCGCACGAACGCCGAUCGGUGGCAAGAAUUCGCUCGCUGACAAAACUAACGACGUCGACUUGUCGAGUCGUAAACUUGCGCGAACAUGCUCCAUAUAAUCCACAAUGUUGUUUAUUAUAAUAAUUCUCAAGGUACAAGGAACGUACGCACGGUAGCACAGUUGGUGUCGCGCGAGAAUGUCAAUCUUUCUUUCUCGCACGUAUACAUGCAUAAUCAAUCAUGUACACGUGACAGAUAAAUGAUUAAAUAAUCACAGCAUCGAUGGCGAAACGGUAAGAUCGUCAAGUUCAUCAUCGCGAUUCGAACUGACUCGCGAUGAACAUCAAUCUAGAUCUGACGAGCGGUAACAUCAACUUCUGGAAUAGAUAAUGAUGAUCAUGAAGGGAUUGCAGCUGGGCGAUGAACAUGUAUUCGAGAAUCAAGAUAAUCCUAAGUUGAACGUCAUGUUAUUACAGAAAAACCUUGUGUCACUAAUGAAAUGUCACUAAUGAUUCCACUUCGCGGAGUCGUUCGUGGGAUGAUCAUCAAAGUCGAAUGAAGGAGAGCUUCCGCCAUGAAACGCGCAUAAUUUAUUAAUUAUUUUAUUAAGUAUUGCCCUGCACAUAUACAGAGCGUGAUAGAUUGAAAAUAUUGCAUCAAGCACCAAGAAGCUUGAAAUGUGUAUUACGUUCAGGAAGAACACGUUUCCACUGAGCGGAUAAAACGAUUGCUACUGAUAAGCAUUAAAAAUCAUAGCGGAGCGCACGUGCAAGUAACGCGAUACAUGAACACACUGGCAAUGUAGCACUGUGCAUACAAUAUUAUGCCCGUUACACGAGACUUUAUCUUGAGAAUUUAAUCAUACCAAGUCAGCAGCACGUGAAUAUGCCAACGGUAUAAUUUGCAAUUCCGGAAAACUGCACUAAUUAUCAUCCCGUUUAAGUUCACGCAUUAAUCAUGUUAUCUAGAGAUUCACGCAAGGCCACCAUUUAGAAUACUCUUCCUGCAAGUAUACCUAUGAACUCUUAUGAGUCUCCAUUAUGAAUCAUUUUCAAAAGCCAGUAAUUUUAUAUAACGUGUUUUGAGAUAUUCCUUGCAUUAAUUAGAAAUGUAUCUGCUAUGUGAAAUUUAUUAAUACAAUGAUAAUCAUACAUGAUCAUAUUUAUUUAUCAGUAAGUUAUUUCGAAGAAAGAUGCAACAUUGUUUCGACUGAUAAGACGGAAAUAGGAAAUCUGAUUAGUAAGAAUAGAAUCUCAUUUAAUAAAAUAAACUUAAUGCGAAUUCAAGUUUUCGCGGUAAUCUACUUUGCUAUCAUAUUAUUAUAGUAUAUAUAAUAAUAUUAUAGUAAUAAUUUUCAGAAAAAUCUUUUCUGAAGCGACAAAGUGCAAGAAGUAUGUGAUAAUGUCUAUCACUUGUCAGCGUAACUUUUACCGAGUCGCACUGUUUGUGCAUCGAUGCUUAUCGAUGAUUCCCAGAAAUUCCAGAAUGCGCGAUAUAUCGUCAUUGUCCAAAGUGUUCAUUAGACCUUAGCGGGCGAUAAGACGCGCACGGUAGCUGCAAGCCGCACUGAGUGGAUUUGCAACAACGAUAACGAGGGGGAUGCUCGGAAGUGCCGAUGCAUUCUACGAUAUACUCGUGCGAGCGACGAGGAAACAGCGAGGAAGACCGAGAGAACUUAGGGGGAGGAGAGAAGACAGAGGCGCGAAGAAAGAGGCGUGAGAAGGAGGGCGAGAUGAAAGAGGGCGACGGGAAAAGGGAGAGAGAAAAUCCCUUGUAUGCAUUCGUGUAACACUUUACCAUGAAGCGAUUGCACAAGUGGGAACGCGACCCCCAUAAACCACCGUCGACCCCGCUUCUUCCACGGUGCGAGAGGAGAGGGCUCCUUAUUACCGUCGACUUGGCGAGAAAAUCAAGAAGCCACGAGUAUGUCGGCAUCGACAUACCUUCUCCCGAGCCGGAGAUUUGAUAAAUCUUUAAAAGAAAUCAUGGGAAAGUGAUGAGAUGGCCUAAAAUACUUUUGUAGAAUAUUAACGCGAUACGUUAACACAUGUACACUACAUCUGUAGUUUAAACAAAAUUAUUUAUGAUAUUUGUGAUAUUCGUAAAUAUAUUUCAUUCAAAAGUAUAUCCGGGAGAGGAAACGUGAAAUAAUAAACUUAACAAUGAAAAGAAGAAACAUAUAUUUUAUAACAUUGUUAGAGGACCAAGAGUAUGAAGAGAAGAUUAUAUAAAGAUUGUAAGAAGACAUUAAUGUCUAAAUAAAACAAAAUUGAUACUGUUUUAGAUUUUCAAAGAGUAACAAAUUUUACGAAGGUUCAAAUAUAGAAGAUUAAAUAUAGCGAAUGGAAACGCGGCAACAAACAAUAGGAAUAUAUGAAAUUAAUAAUUAGAUUAAAGCCGCUGUAGAUCCGUGGGAAUGAAACUGUAUGUAUCUAUGGGUGGGAAAUAAAUCUUGACAGAUUGAAUAUCGAUAGGUUUCGAUUUUGAAAUCCAGAUAUCAGUACGCGCCAAAUGUGUCUGGUUGCUAUAAAGUGAUAUCUGAGGUACAAGUACUCCUGGAGACGAUGAAUGAGAUCGUUCUACGGGUGUGUCGAAUAUUCCACAUGAUCGAAGCUUGGGCGCCAAUGUCGUAUAUCAAUUUUCGAUUUGUUUUAAUAACACGUUACAGUUGGCGAGAUAUUAAUCUUUGUGUGUGAACACACCUUGUUUCCUCAUACGGUGAGCGUAAAUAUGGAAAACUCGACUUUCUAUAUGCCGAUCGUGGCACCAGCUUGCAUCACAGGUCACAACCUUUCCAAAUACGCAACAUACUUCUCAAAUUCUCUUUUCUCGCGAUGGUAUUCAGAGAGAAAUUCUCCCUCAAAGAAAUUCAAAAACCGCAUUCGAUUAUUAAAUUUCGCAGAAAAGUAAAAACAUUUUAAUACACUGAGCGUUACAUAUAUAUAUAUAUAUAUAUAUUCACCAGCGUAUGUCGAUUUAUGUAUUUAUCUUGAUUUCUCUUCUUGGCGUUAUGCUGUCGUCAUAUAACAGCGCACGCAUUCAUGUCUAAAAGUGAAGGAAUUUGAAGGAAAUUUUUAAUUGCUUGUUUCAAGAUGAAAUAAGGCGUGGCUAUGAAAGGAUUUAUAUUGUAAUGAUAUCAAUCCGUAUUUUCAAUAAACUGCGAUACUAUCUGUAGGCUAGUGCUGAAACUUCUACUAAGUGAAGCAUUCAAUGCAGCCGUAUAAUGGUAUCAUUUAUCGUCUCACGCUCCAAGAUCUUUUCGCGUUCGACGAUUUAUCAUUUCUACGGUCAGCCGUGUCGUCGCCUGAGCAUCAAAUAUGGAAUCAAUUGAUGAAGGAGACUCGAGAUGAAAUCCAAUUUUGUAAUUAGAAUAAAUGUAAAUAUUAAUAUUUUACUGAAAAUUUCAUUGACAAUUAGUUUCAAAGAAUGCUAUUACUUAUGGAGUGAUCUAAUAUUGUAUUUAUAUGUAAUGCAUGAUAAAAUACAAAAAAACACACAUAUGCAUGCAAAAUUCAAUCAACAUUCCGAAAUUGCUAAAGAGCCACGUUAUCGCGGCGAUAUUUAUUAUUAUUAUCCAAUGAUUAGUCCCCAGACGUGCACAUUGCCAUAUGUUGGUAUAUUUUAGAUAUUGUGCAAUAAAUUAUUAAGUAUUUAAUUAAAGUGGAUGCUGCUUAUUUAAGAUACAUACGAAGGAUAAUUUAUGUUGCCGCGUAGCUAUUAAAUUGAAUUAGUAUUACGAGCAACGUAACAAUGGGUGCUUACAAUUAAUAAAUACAGAAGAGUGAUAAUGCAUAAAAUAAAAAUCUGAAAACUCCAACGAAUAUCUGCGAACCGCUCAUGCGGUUCAUGCACUCUCCAACAUAUUUACACGCAUGCGUCGUUUGUUUUACUAUCCGGAACAUAAAUCAUCUCCAUGUAACAACGUAACAACGUUAAAUGUGCAUCGUUAUGGAGGAAGCUGAAGGAAACAAUUAAUGAACAAUUAUGAUGCAAUUUAUGAUUAUGGCGCUCGCUGAUAUUCAUCAUGAGCUAAUGUUGCUAUAAAUAGUUAGCCAAUAAAUUCAAGGCAUGCAAGCACCCGUUGAUUACAGAUCUGUGUGUCCCGUUUUGUAUUUCGUAUUAAAAUAUAGUAUAAUAUUGUAGAUACAUUAUCGUAAAUAAAUAACGAUACAUUAUUUGGCUCAUAUUUCCUAGUCGUAUUACUGUCAUGAUGUUUAUUGUUUCGUCUAUGCGGGCAUUAUUUACAAAUUAUAAAUCUCCGCAUUUUAUAUCUGAACCAGUUAUAUGAACAAGAGUCUCCAUGAUUGCAUGAAGAUAAAUAAUAAACAAGCUAUGGAGGGUGGAGAAUCCAAAAGAAUAUAUAUUUUUAUAACACUUUUAUAAAUAUUAAUUGUGUAAUCAGUUUUCCUGGUUCGGAUUAUUGUAUAUAUACAUACUUUGAGGUGAGAAUAAUUUAACACUUUCGCUUAUUAGCAUCACACACAUGUUUAACAGCAAUUUCCUUUUCAUUUCCAUAAAGUCCAAAAGAAUCUCCCUUUCCAAUAUUAAAAAUUAAAAAAAUGUGAGAUGCUUUCUGGUGGACGAUUCAAUCACUCGGUAUCGAACGCGUUAAAUAAAAUUCUCGUGAAAUUAAGCAGAACGAGAAAAAUGAGCAGGAUCAGUAAAAUUGUAUCUCUAACUAUUCGUUUAUCUACUUUAAGCCUCUUUUUUGCUGUUACGAGAUGACGUUAAAUACACCAUUAAGAGCAGCAAUUAAUGAGUGCGGAAAAGAACGAGUACGUAAAGAGUACGCACUUGGUUCGUUCGCCGACAGGUUCUAAUUACAAUGUAAGUCAACUCGAUCCUCAAGAUCGAUAGUUUAUGCUCUGAUUCUCACACUGAAGCAAUUGUGCAUGUCACACGCAUGGACGCAUUUAAUGCGACGACUGUAAAAAUUCGACAAAUUAUAAAAAAACAUGUUGCAUUACGAGACUCCUCCUCGUUUAUCUUCAGACAGUUGGAUGAAAGCUCUCGCAGAUAAUUGUGCUAAUUAAUACAUCUUCCGUAAUCACGUAAUUAGCGUCGUGGAAAUACUGCACUGCCGUUUUACUGGAACGAGAUUGACUUUCGACGCUUUUCAGCGCGAACAUGCUCGGAUGUCGUUAAUUAUGCGCCGCGCCUGGUAAUAAUUAAAUCGAAACACUGCCUUCCCCGUGAUAGAACGAUGAUCGAAAGUCAUUUCCUAGAAGGCCGCGCGCGUAAUGGUUCGUUGCCUCUAAUUUGAAUAAUCUCUCGCGGCCCGCUCGUCCGGCUCGUUACGAGCACAAGCGCACAGAUUAUCCGGGUAUUAACUGCGUUCCUGAAGAUCAGAAGACGGAUGUCGGAGGAUCCUCAGGUUCAAGUUUCGCCGGUGAAAAAGUUUUUCCAGCCAUCCUCCUGCUACGGUGCACGCGGAACGGAAGCGGACCGGCGAGUAAAAAGUGUCGCGUCUGCAUUAAAACACGCGUCCCUUUAUUCGUCGUCGACCCGAUCAUGCGACGAUUGAUGAAUUGAUGGGUACUAAUGAAUUUGCAUGCGAAUAAGGAGAGGAGAAGUAAAGGUGGAGGAGCGGCUAUCAAUACAGGUGCGCCCGAAUUUUGAUGAGUAACGAUUCUAUCAAGCAUCGCCGAGAAACGUCGAGGAACGAUCGAGGUGUUAAUAAGAAAUUUCGAGAGGAACAAAAGAAGUUAAUUAACACCUUUAGCAGCUGCGUGAACAACCUGUCGCACGUAAAUUGAAAGGUCCUGCGAAAGGUAAUCGCGAUAAAAGAACGGGACUCGAAGUUUUACAUUCUAUCGCGUUCCCAAAGUUAUUUUGGUAUUUAUCGCUAUUUUAUAUUCAAAAUUAGUGUACAGUGUAUAGAAAUAUUUUAAUAUACUAUAAAAAAUUGUCUAUCAAUUAAAGUUUUGAAUUCAUUUUCUUUAUAUUACAGUUUGUUUAAUGUUUGUGAAAAGUAGAUCAUGUUUUCUAUCUUUUUGUAUUCAAAUAAUUAACAAGUAAGAUUCAUACUAGAGUUAUAAUCACUUGCGAAAGUAAUUGGACAAAGCACAGAAAAAGGAAAUAGUCAACUUUUUCUCCAACAUAAACAUAUUUAUAUAUCUCUUUUUUGACAAUAAGAAGUAAUACAUUUUAUGCAGUGUAAAUUAAAUUUAGCAAAAAGUAAAAGUGGUAGCUGUAGUAAAAAUAUAUCCCUCGACAUGUAUUUUUGUAGCUAGCUGUACCCUCAUCGUAAAAGUCGAUACUCCAAUAACUCAUCUUCCAUAAAGGAAAUGAUGCUAUCGUGUUGCUCUUGAAGUAAUGUCGAAAGUGAAACCAAUAGCUCGUGAUACAAUGUUUAAACGUAACAAUGCUAUUUAUAUAUGUUUUGUGUCAUAUAAAUUUUAUUUAUGUGUAUGAUAUCGAGACGGAAUCACUAACCACUCAUUAGCAAUUGUAUAAAUUGUUUCGGAGAAAACCGUCGCCGAAGCUUCGAUUUGUAUCAGCGAGUCGACAGACCGCUUUACAGCUUACCACGUUGCUACUUAUCAUACAUUUGAUUACUUGCAAUGUCCAUCACAAUGGAGCACAUAAAAUGACAAAUACAUUUGAGUGCUCUUGCGUCAAUCAAUAAGACACAGUAGUUCCAUAUGGAGAAUGAUCAAUUCCACAAUAUUCUCAUAUCGAUCGCUCUUAAUCCGCUCCGCUGCGCGAACUAGUUGAAUAUCAAACAUCAAAGAUUUAGCGAAAA